AUUCGGAUUGGAGUCUGCAACCCGACUCCAUGAAGCUGGAUUCGCUAGUAAUCGCGCAUCAGCCACGGCGCGGUGAAUACGUUCCCGGGCCUUGUACACACCGCCCGUCAAGCCAUGGAAGCCGGGGGUGCCUGAAGUGCGCUGCCGCGAGGAGCGCCCUAGGGUAAAACCGGUGACUGGGGCUAAGUCGUAACAAGGUAAC
Molecule: ribosomal RNA, 202 nt
Filed under: uncultured bacterium
Lineage: Bacteria
Description: partial 16S ribosomal RNA
Rfam family: Bacterial small subunit ribosomal RNA
Source: RNAcentral